RNAcentral lists this ribosomal RNA (1486 nucleotides) under Lactiplantibacillus plantarum. Its description in RNAcentral is "bacterial SSU rRNA". It matches the Rfam family "Bacterial small subunit ribosomal RNA". The record is from RNAcentral. Lineage: Bacteria; Bacillati; Bacillota; Bacilli; Lactobacillales; Lactobacillaceae.
GAACGCUGGCGGCGUGCCUAAUACAUGCAAGUCGAACGAACUCUGGUAUUGAUUGGUGCUUGCAUCAUGAUUUACAUUUGAGUGAGUGGCGAACUGGUGAGUAACACGUGGGAAACCUGCCCAGAAGCGGGGGAUAACACCUGGAAACAGAUGCUAAUACCGCAUAACAACUUGGACCGCAUGGUCCGAGUUUGAAAGAUGGCUUCGGCUAUCACUUUUGGAUGGUCCCGCGGCGUAUUAGCUAGAUGGUGGGGUAACGGCUCACCAUGGCAAUGAUACGUAGCCGACCUGAGAGGGUAAUCGGCCACAUUGGGACUGAGACACGGCCCAAACUCCUACGGGAGGCAGCAGUAGGGAAUCUUCCACAAUGGACGAAAGUCUGAUGGAGCAACGCCGCGUGAGUGAAGAAGGGUUUCGGCUCGUAAAACUCUGUUGUUAAAGAAGAACAUAUCUGAGAGUAACUGUUCAGGUAUUGACGGUAUUUAACCAGAAAGCCACGGCUAACUACGUGCCAGCAGCCGCGGUAAUACGUAGGUGGCAAGCGUUGUCCGGAUUUAUUGGGCGUAAAGCGAGCGCAGGCGGUUUUUUAAGUCUGAUGUGAAAGCCUUCGGCUCAACCGAAGAAGUGCAUCGGAAACUGGGAAACUUGAGUGCAGAAGAGGACAGUGGAACUCCAUGUGUAGCGGUGAAAUGCGUAGAUAUAUGGAAGAACACCAGUGGCGAAGGCGGCUGUCUGGUCUGUAACUGACGCUGAGGCUCGAAAGUAUGGGUAGCAAACAGGAUUAGAUACCCUGGUAGUCCAUACCGUAAACGAUGAAUGCUAAGUGUUGGAGGGUUUCCGCCCUUCAGUGCUGCAGCUAACGCAUUAAGCAUUCCGCCUGGGGAGUACGGCCGCAAGGCUGAAACUCAAAGGAAUUGACGGGGGCCCGCACAAGCGGUGGAGCAUGUGGUUUAAUUCGAAGCUACGCGAAGAACCUUACCAGGUCUUGACAUACUAUGCAAAUCUAAGAGAUUAGACGUUCCCUUCGGGGACAUGGAUACAGGUGGUGCAUGGUUGUCGUCAGCUCGUGUCGUGAGAUGUUGGGUUAAGUCCCGCAACGAGCGCAACCCUUAUUAUCAGUUGCCAGCAUUAAGUUGGGCACUCUGGUGAGACUGCCGGUGACAAACCGGAGGAAGGUGGGGAUGACGUCAAAUCAUCAUGCCCCUUAUGACCUGGGCUACACACGUGCUACAAUGGAUGGUACAACGAGUUGCGAACUCGCGAGAGUAAGCUAAUCUCUUAAAGCCAUUCUCAGUUCGGAUUGUAGGCUGCAACUCGCCUACAUGAAGUCGGAAUCGCUAGUAAUCGCGGAUCAGCAUGCCGCGGUGAAUACGUUCCCGGGCCUUGUACACACCGCCCGUCACACCAUGAGAGUUUGUAACACCCAAAGUCGGUGGGGUAACCUUUUAGGAACCAGCCGCCUAAGGUGGGACAGAUGAUUAGGGUG